RNAcentral lists this long non-coding RNA (305 nucleotides) under Elaeis guineensis (African oil palm). RNAcentral describes it as "long non-coding RNA (EGUI_LNC009776)". Lineage: Eukaryota; Viridiplantae; Streptophyta; Magnoliopsida; Arecales; Arecaceae. The record is from RNAcentral.
AUAAUUUAAUAAAGAGGGGAUAGCACCCUGCUACCUCCUAUUCACAUCAAAAGUAAAAAUAGACAUAAAAAGGAGGGCUUUCAAGCAGGCUGAGGAAUCUACUUUUCAGUAAUAAACCCCCUUGGCUUUUUUAUUAUUUCUUCAAUUUCAUGCACACACAUGAUCUUCCUUAGGAUGCCAUUUAUUCAGUCAGUCAUCUCAACAGCCACAGGAAAAUAUUAAAUGGCAAUUUUAAGAAACUUCUUUGACAAUUGGGAUAAUGGAGCCCAGGCUUUGCCAUCCCGAAUCUGUCAGUGUGUCAGACC